Molecule: ribosomal RNA, 619 nt
Filed under: Listeria monocytogenes
Lineage: Bacteria; Bacillati; Bacillota; Bacilli; Caryophanales; Listeriaceae
Description: bacterial LSU rRNA
Rfam family: Bacterial large subunit ribosomal RNA
Source: RNAcentral
UAUGCUUUGGGGAGCUGUACGUAAGCGUUGAUCCAGAGAUUUCCGAAUGGGGAACCCACUAUCUUUAGUCGGAUAGUAUCCUUACGUGAAUACAUAGCGUGAGGAAGGCAGACCCAGGGAACUGAAACAUCUAAGUACCUGGAGGAAGAGAAAGAAAAAUCGAUUUCCUGAGUAGCGGCGAGCGAAACGGAAAGAGCCCAAACCAAGAAGCUUGCUUCUUGGGGUUGUAGGACACUCUAUACGGAGUUACAAAAGAAAGUUAUAAAUGAAGCGGUCUGGAGGCCCGCCAAAGACGGUAACAGCCCGGUAGUUGAAAUAGCUUUCCCUCCAGAGUGGAUCCUGAGUACGGCGGAACACGUGAAAUUCCGUCGGAAUCCGGGAGGACCAUCUCCCAAGGCUAAAUACUCCCUAGUGACCGAUAGUGAACCAGUACCGUGAGGGAAAGGUGAAAAGCACCCCGGAAGGGGAGUGAAACAGUUCCUGAAACCGUGUGCCUACAAGUAGUUAGAGCCCGUUAAUGGGUGAUAGCGUGCCUUUUGUAGAAUGAACCGGCGAGUUACGAUUUGUUGCAAGGUUAAGCGGAAAAAGCGGAGCCGUAGCGAAAGCGAGUCUGAAUAGG